CCUACGGGUGGCAGCAGUGGGGAAUAUUGCACAAUGGGGGAAACCCUGAUGCAGCGACGCCGCGUGAAGGAAGAAGUAUUUCGGUAUGUAAACUUCUAUCAGCAGGGAAGUAAAUGACGGUACCUGACUAAGAAUCCCCGGCUAACUACGUUCCAGCAGCCGCGGUAAUACGUAGGGGGCCAGCGUUAUCCGGAUGUACUGGGUGUUAAGGGAGCGUAGACGGCGUGGCAAGUCAGAAGUGAAAGCCCGGGGCUCAACUGCGGGACUGCUUUUGAAACUGUAUGGCUAGAUUGCAGGAGAGGCAAGUGGAAUUCGUAGUGUAGCGGUGGAAUGCGUAGAUAUUAGGAGGAACACCAGUGGCGAAGGCGGCUUGCUGGACUGUAAAUGACACUGAGGCUCGAAAGCGUGGGGAGCAAACAGGAUUAGAUACCCCAGUAGUC
RNAcentral lists this ribosomal RNA (440 nucleotides) under uncultured bacterium. Its description in RNAcentral is "partial 16S ribosomal RNA". It matches the Rfam family "Bacterial small subunit ribosomal RNA", at positions 338 to 795 of the family's 1533-position model. The record is from RNAcentral.